Molecule: non-coding RNA, 1487 nt
Organism: Phoenix dactylifera (date palm)
Lineage: Eukaryota; Viridiplantae; Streptophyta; Magnoliopsida; Arecales; Arecaceae
Source: RefSeq, a predicted model, not a curated record
GCCUAUAUCUUGAGCGGUAUUCAUCUGUCAAAAUUUGGAUAAGUGGAUUAGACUUUUGGAUUUAUAAUUCAUCAUUCAGUUGAUUUCAAUGUUUGAUGAACACUGUUACUUUGCCAUGAGCAAGGUUAUAAACAUGGAAUAUCAUUCCUGACGUGAAGAAGUUAAAGGGGACAUACCAUGUUGGGAGAUAAACUAAUUCAGGUAAUAGAAGUGAUCAAUAGCAUAGCUCGUCACAGGGAUCGACAAUCAUGGAAGAAUCAUGAGAGAGUUAUGAAUAGGAGUUCCUGAGAUCUUUCUAGUCUUCGUUUCUUUCCAUAUAUGAUAGGGUAAGGAUAAGAAGAUGUUUGGAUUAUUAGUACUAUUUAAUUGCAUUCUGAUAGAUGUGUGGAACAAUGUAGAUAAAGGUAUUCUCAAUUGGAUACAUCAAGCACUAUAUCAAGUAUCAACUCUCUGAAGGCAGAACUUGAUGAAGGAUUUGAAUUCCUUUGUGUAUGGAAGAAAACUCAAUUGGCAGCAUGAUUACAUUUAUCAAGAUAAUAAACACUUGGCUCUUGAUAUGCAUUGCAAGGAACUCAGUUCUACACCUACAGUGAGAAAUUAGAUUUCAAGCAUCACAAUAGCCUUUUUUAUAGAUUCCCCACUAGGAAAUGUGCCAAAUGGAGUGUGCCGGUGGAUAUGGGCAGUGUUAUGAAAUGAGUCAUGAAUAGUGAGUAUAUGGACAGAUUAUUGGCCCCUCUAGCUGCAAAGACCAUUGUACAUCAAAGAGAACACAGAGGACAAACCGGCAAACAGAAAGAUGACUUCUCUUCUUUCAGAAACCAUCAGAUAUGUUAUUGUCUAUGUUAGUUAAUCUCAAAGCCAACGCCUUGAUAGCCUUUCAAUCAUCGAAGAAGAAACGACUAGCAUCAAAAAAGAGUAUAGACUGGUUAAACCAGCAAAGAAAAAGUAAAAUGCAAGGGACCUUGCUUGGCAUCGGUUACUGUCGUUGCCUUCAUUAUCAAUGCCCAUUUCAGAGAAUAAAUGGAGUCACCUUCAAAUCUGAAAAAUUGGAAGAACGGUAAAAAGGAGAGGGCAUGCGUAAUUCCAUGAUUGGGUGGAGAUGAGGAGUCGUGUGGGAGUCUCCUGGAAAUUAGUAGUACAUGGGGUGACGCAUUUCGUAGCUUCUGGUGUGAGACUUGCCACGGUUGCUAAGGUGGACGCAGGCAAUGACAACCUACAAUCAAAAUUGGGACACGUCUGUUAAUAUGUUAAUGGUCUUUGGAUUGUAAGAAACCCAACCCAUAUUGUUACAAUUUAGGCUUUAUCCAUAUUGUUAUGUUCAUACUCUGAACAUGCGUAGAUGUGCAUAGGCUGGCCAUUUGAUCGAGCAUGCAAAGGGCUAUAGCCAGAGUUCUGAUUGUAUCUUUUACAUGAAAGAAUGAUUGAUCUCCUUUCACGACGGACCGUCGGGUCCCACUCUUUGUAUAGAUCUCAAAGCACUUCGAACU